CAUUAAAACAUCAGUUCUCGUCCGUUCACUGAAGUUAAGCAACGUCGAUCCUGGUCAGUACUUAGAUGGGUGACUGCCUGGUUAUGCCAGGUGCUGUAC
Acanthosepion pharaonis is the source of this 99-nucleotide non-coding RNA. The record is from the annotation of a GenBank genome assembly. NCBI's taxonomy places the organism in Eukaryota, Metazoa, Mollusca, Cephalopoda, Sepiida, Sepiidae.